UGCACACCAAAGAUACCAUGAAGCAACAAGACCAAGGUUCCAAAGUUAAAAAAGAGAUGCCCUCCAAUGCCGAGCCGAGACAAGAAAAACCAAAUGCAAGCCAAUAGAGAUGCAUAGCCAUGUGAUGUGUCUUCAAACCAUAGAAAACAAAUCCACGUUGAUGCAUUCAAACCAUAGGCCAACAAAUCAAUACUUCCAACAAUGAAGCUUAAGAAAAUACCAACAUAGCCAAAACUAGAACAAAAAUGCAGCAGUAAUGCUGCACAAAAUAAAACCAA
This 278-nucleotide long non-coding RNA is filed under the name Medicago truncatula (barrel medic). RNAcentral describes it as "long non-coding RNA (MTRU_LNC003890)". Lineage: Eukaryota; Viridiplantae; Streptophyta; Magnoliopsida; Fabales; Fabaceae. The record is from RNAcentral.